RNAcentral lists this unclassified non-coding RNA (138 nucleotides) under Leishmania tarentolae. Its description in RNAcentral is "partial 7SL RNA". Lineage: Eukaryota; Euglenozoa; Kinetoplastea; Trypanosomatida; Trypanosomatidae. The record is from RNAcentral.
AUUCAGGCUUAGCGAGGUCGACGUGGACCAGCGAGGGUGACGCGCUGCGUUGACGUGGUGCUCUGCUUGGCUGUGUGUCGGUGCGCCCCGCCCCCCUGAAGAGGGGUGUUGCGGGACCGCCGUUAAAGUGAGGGAACC